Molecule: long non-coding RNA, 1630 nt
Filed under: Papio anubis (olive baboon)
Lineage: Eukaryota; Metazoa; Chordata; Mammalia; Primates; Cercopithecidae
Description: lncRNA (ENSPANG00000044383.1)
Source: RNAcentral
AAAUAGGAAGAAAGCCAAAUAGAAGAAUCUUUCUUUCUUUCCUUUGAUCUAUCUGUCUAUCUAUCUGUGAAAGAGACCUGGAAAUAUGCACAUCAGAAGUGUGUAGUAGACAAAUUAUCCAAUGGCUUCGUGAUUCCCGCCCCCUGGUGUCCACCCUCUGUACAAUUUCCACCUCUCGAGUGUGGGCAGGACUGUGACAAUGACAGAGCUCAGUCAGGUGGCUAGGUUAUGUGGCACACGUAAAGGGAUUUUGAUGAUGUAAUUAAGAUCCCUAAUCAGUUUGACUUUGAGUUAAUUAAAUGGGAGAAUCUCCUGGUGGGGGGCGUGGCCUACUCAGGUAAGCCUCUGAACAGAUGACUUAGACCUUCUCUGAUGAGAAUCUACUGCUGGCCUUAAUGAAGAAAGAAGCCUGGGUAAGUUCCACAGCUGCAAGGAAAUGGAUUCUGCUGCAUGAGCACAGGAGAGAACCCUGAACCUCAGAUGAAGAUGCAGCUCUGGGCAGCACCUUGAUUGUGCCUUGUGAGGCCCUGAGCAAAGGACCCGUUAAGCUGUGCCCGGACUCCUGCCCCAUGGCACCUGUGCGCUGGGAAAGAUCUCAGGCCAAGAGGGGUCCUACCGGCAGCCUCUGGGGCAGCUGAAUGCACCCAAAGCCUCCAACAUCUUUCUACACACCUGGGUUGUGUGGCGACCCUGUCCUGGUCCUCCCACCUGCCUGCAGGCAGGAUGAGUCAUGGCUGAACAGAGGCCCGGAAGCCAGGGAGGCAGAGCACCGCCUCCCACCCAGCUGCCUCCUGCACUUGACUUCCAGGGGCCAGGGUAUUCAGACAGGAGAGACCAGCUGAGCCUUUCUGUCAAUCAUCUCUUCUUGGUUGAGGUGGGGAAGGGGGAUGACGAGGGGAGGGGGAUGAUGAGGAGAGGGAGCGGGGGUGGGGACGGGGCAGCUCCCUGAUGCUGAUGGGUGCACAGCAAAUAAUGAAAUGUAAAUUUUCAAUGGAGUACAGAACUGAAUCUUAAUGAAAGGUAUUAUUAAAUUCAGCAAAACACAAAGAAAUUUUAACUGAGCAGAACUGAUUAGUCCAUAAAAAGGAAUAGAUUGCAGCUUGCAUCAUUUGCCGUCUAGACAAAUCACUAAGAUACACAUGCACCAGUUUUAAUUAGUGCCAUAAAAAUCUAGCAUUCUGUAGCCCAAAAUGGUAUUGUUCAACAAAUAAAAAAAUUUUUAAUAAAAAAAUGCAGCUCAAACAACUACUUCCCAUAAUGCCUAAAUAAACUGUCUUUCCCCCUCUUUAUUGAAAUGAGAGACCCACAAGGUAAAAUUGCUGCUGCUUCUGUGUCUAAUAGAAGGUUUUGUGCUCUACGUCCCUUCCCCCAUGGCAUCAUGAAAUGUACAAUUCUCAUAGAAGGUCUAUGCCGGACUGAAUACAUCACAGCAAGAAGCUUUCCAUUUUUAGCCAAAAAGUCCAGACUUUUUUUUUUUUUUUUGCUGGUUUAACCCUUCAGGAAAUUCUAAAUGGAUCCAGGCUGCUGGCUCAAGUUUCUAUGCCACAGUGACCUUCAGUGAGAAGGCAGCAUGUUGAUUUCUGUUUGUUGGUUUGUUUCCUAAUCCGUGGGAUCCCAGCCUCACCUUUCC